UACGUAGGGGGCAAGCGUUGUCCGGAAUUAUUGGGCGUAAAGAGCGCGUAGGCGGUCCGAUAAGUCGGCUGUGAAAGUCAGGGGCUCAACCCUUGGAAGCCGGCCGAUACUGUCGGACUAGAGUCCGGAAGAGGCGAGUGGAAUUCCCGGUGUAGCGGUGAAAUGCGCAGAUAUCGGGAGGAACACCAAUGGCGAAGGCAGCUCGCUGGGACGGUACUGACGCUGAGUGAGCGAAAGCCAGGGGAGCAAACGGG
This 254-nucleotide ribosomal RNA is filed under the name uncultured bacterium. RNAcentral's name for it is "partial 16S ribosomal RNA". It matches the Rfam family "Bacterial small subunit ribosomal RNA", at positions 524 to 776 of the family's 1533-position model. The record is from RNAcentral.